This 492-nucleotide ribosomal RNA is filed under the name uncultured bacterium. RNAcentral describes it as "partial 16S ribosomal RNA". It matches the Rfam family "Bacterial small subunit ribosomal RNA", at positions 29 to 507 of the family's 1533-position model. The record is from RNAcentral.
AGUGAACGCUGGCGGUAGGCCUAACACAUGCAAGUCGAACGGCAGCACAGUAAGAGCUUGCUCUUACGGGUGGCGAGUGGCGGACGGGUGAGGAAUACAUCGGAAUCUACUUUUUCGUGGGGGAUAACGUAGGGAAACUUACGCUAAUACCGCAUACGACCUACGGGUGAAAGCAGGGGAUCUUCGGACCUUGCGCGAUUGAAUGAGCCGAUGUCGGAUUAGCUAGUUGGCGGGGUAAAGGCCCACCAAGGCAACGAUCCGUAGCUGGUCUGAGAGGGUGAUCGGCCACACUGGAACUGAGACACGGUCCAGACUCCUACGGGAGGCAGCAGUGGGGAAUAUUGGACAAUGGGCGCAAGCCUGAUCCAGCCAUACCGCGUGGGUGAAGAAGGCCUUCGGGUUGUAAAGCCCUUUUGUUGGGAAAGAAAAGCAGCAGGUUAAUACCCCGCUGUUCUGACGGUACCCAAAGAAUAAGCACCGGCUAACUUCGUG